CUCCUGAAUAACGCUCAGGUGCUCCACAGAUUUGUCAUUUCUUCGUUCUGUCGCUUCUUGUUGCAGUUUUGGUGGAUUUAUGGCUGAAAAGACACAAGUUGGUGAAUCCCAUGAUGAACCUGCUGACCCCCACAGCGUCCAGCUUCUCCGGUUUGAGGGUUCACCUCAGAGGUUCCCUUCAUGACUGUGAGGCUUCAGAAGUUUCAGCUUCAAGGGGAGAAAAGGCGGGAAAAGUGAGCAUUUUCCUCCCCGCAUUGAUGCAAAAAAAACAGCUGCAGCUGCGGCUCAGCAGAGAAAUGACAACAGCAUUCAUCACACUCUCGGCUGCUCUGAACAACUGCUCCAGCAAAGUUUGAGGCAGAAGUUCUGCCACUUCGUCUGGAGAAAUGUCAGAAAACCUCCUGCCCGUUUGAAGGCUGCAGGAGCAUCGCACUAAAUGACAGCAGCUCAUCGUCUGCAUACGAUGAUACUCAUCAGAGAUGUCGGUGAACGUUGGAAAAUGUGGAAAAAGCAUCUGUAAAAGUUUUGAAUUCUGUCUGUUCAUUUGGCACAGGUUGUUUCCAUCCAUCCAGUCCUGAAUGUUGUUAGAGACGCAGUGAUUGGAUUCAGUCAUUUCUAGUCAUUUUCAUAUAGAAAACUGAUAACUGCUAAAUGUCUUCU
Non-coding RNA from Oryzias latipes (Japanese medaka), 660 nucleotides. NCBI's taxonomy places the organism in Eukaryota, Metazoa, Chordata, Actinopteri, Beloniformes, Adrianichthyidae. The record is from RefSeq and is a predicted model, not a curated record.